GAUGAACGCUGGCGGCGUGCCUAAUACAUGCAAGUCGAGCGAACAGACGAGGAGCUUGCUCCUCUGACGUUAGCGGCGGACGGGUGAGUAACACGUGGAUAACCUACCUAUAAGACUGGGAUAACUUCGGGAAACCGGAGCUAAUACCGGAUAAUAUAUUGAACCGCAUGGUUCAAUAGUGAAAGACGGUUUUGCUGUCACUUAUAGAUGGAUCCGCGCCGCAUUAGCUAGUUGGUAAGGUAACGGCUUACCAAGGAAACGAUGCGUAGCCGACCUGAGAGGGUGAUCGGCCACACUGGAACUGAGACACGGUCCAGACUCCUACGGGAGGCAGCAGUAGGGAAUCUUGCGCAAUGGGCGAAAGCCUGACGGAGCAACGCCGCGUGAGUGAUGAAGGUCUUCGGAUCGUAAAACUCUGUUAUGAGGGAAGAACAAAUGUGUAAGUAACGAUGCACGUCUUGACGGUACCGAAGCAGAAAGCCACGGCUAACUACGU
This 496-nucleotide ribosomal RNA is filed under the name uncultured bacterium. Its description in RNAcentral is "partial 16S ribosomal RNA". It matches the Rfam family "Bacterial small subunit ribosomal RNA", at positions 28 to 506 of the family's 1533-position model. The record is from RNAcentral.